CAGCAGCCGCGGUAAUACCGGCGGCCCGAGUGGCGGUCACUAUUAUUGGGCUUAAAGCGUCCGUAGCCGGGUUGGGAAGUCCUCCGGGAAAUCUGGCCGCUUAACGGUCAGAAUGCCGGAGGAUACUCCUAGCCUAGGGAGCGGGAGAGGCCGAGGGUAUUCCCGGAGUAGGGGUGAAAUCCUAUAAUCCCGGGAGGACCACCUGUGGCGAAGGCGCUCGGCUGGAACGCGUCCGACGGGGAGGGACGAAGGCCAGGGGAGCAAACCGGAUUAGAUACCCGGGUAGUCCUGGCUGUAAACGAUGCGGACUUUGUGUCGGACAAGCUAUGAGCUUGUCCGGUGCCGGAGGGAAACCGUUAAGUCCGCCGCCUGGGGAGUACGGCCGCAAGGCUGAAACUUAAAGGAAUUGGCGGG
Molecule: ribosomal RNA, 414 nt
Filed under: uncultured microorganism
Description: bacterial SSU rRNA
Rfam family: Archaeal small subunit ribosomal RNA
Source: RNAcentral